Molecule: transfer RNA, 104 nt
Filed under: Cyanidioschyzon merolae strain 10D
Lineage: Eukaryota; Rhodophyta; Bangiophyceae; Cyanidiales; Cyanidiaceae
Rfam family: tRNA
About the family: Transfer RNA (tRNA) molecules are approximately 80 nucleotides in length. Their secondary structure includes four short double-helical elements and three loops (D, anti-codon, and T loops). Further hydrogen bonds mediate the characteristic L-shaped molecular structure. tRNAs have two regions of fundamental functional importance: the anti-codon, which is responsible for specific mRNA codon recognition, and the 3' end, to which the tRNAs corresponding amino acid is attached (by aminoacyl-tRNA synthetases). tRNAs cope with the degeneracy of the genetic code in two manners: having more than one tRNA (with a specific anti-codon) for a particular amino acid; and 'wobble' base-pairing, i.e. permitting non-standard base-pairing at the 3rd anti-codon position.
Source: Rfam by way of RNAcentral
GCCCUGUUAGCUCAGCGGUUAGAGCAUCUGUCUUGUAAACAGAAGGUCCCGACUCGGAACAGCCGAACCCUCCGAGGGAUCUCGUUCGAAUCGCGGACAGGGCU